UUGAACGCUGGCGGCAGGCCUAACCCAUGCAAGUCGCACGGUAACAGGAAGAAGCUUGCUUCUUUGCUGACGCGUGGCGGACGGGUGAGUAAUGUCUGGGAAACUGCCUGAUGGAGGGGGAUAACUACUGGAAACGGUAGCUAAUACCGCAUAACGUCGCAAGACCAAAGAGGGGGACCUUCGGGCCUCUUGCCAUCGGAUGUGCCCAGAUGGGAUUAGCUAGUAGGUGGGGUAACGGCUCACCUAGGCGACGAUCCCUAGCUGGUCUGAGAGGAUGACCAGCCACACUGGAACUGAGACACGGUCCAGACUCCUACGGGAGGCAGCAGUGGGGAAUAUUGCACAAUGGGCGCAAGCCUGAUGCAGCCAUGCCGCGUGUAUGAAGAAGGCCUUCGGGUUGUAAAGUACUUUCAGCGGGGAGGAAGGGAGUAAAGUUAAUACCUUUGCUCAUUGACGUUACCCGCAGAAGAAGCACCGGCUAACUCCGUG
This 489-nucleotide ribosomal RNA is filed under the name uncultured bacterium. RNAcentral's name for it is "partial 16S ribosomal RNA". It matches the Rfam family "Bacterial small subunit ribosomal RNA", at positions 30 to 507 of the family's 1533-position model. The record is from RNAcentral.